RNAcentral lists this ribosomal RNA (333 nucleotides) under uncultured eukaryote. RNAcentral's name for it is "partial 18S ribosomal RNA". It matches the Rfam family "Eukaryotic small subunit ribosomal RNA", at positions 1470 to 1796 of the family's 1831-position model. The record is from RNAcentral.
CCCUUAGAUGUUCUGGGCCGCACGCGCGCUACACUGAUGCGUUCAACGAGUAUACAACCUUGAUCGAUAGGUCUGGGUAAUCUUGUGAAUGCGCAUCGUGCUAGGGAUAGAUUGUUGCAAUUUUCAAUCUUGAACGAGGAAUUCCUAGUAAACGCAAGUCAUCAGCUUGCAUUGAUUACGUCCCUGCCCUUUGUACACACCGCCCGUCGCUACUACCGAUUGAACGGUUUAGUGAGGGCCUCGGAUUGGUCUCGGCCCGCUCUUUACCGGGCGGCGCCGUUGGUCGAGAAGACGCUCGAACUUGAUCGUUUAGAGGAAGUAAAAGUCGUAACA